Molecule: long non-coding RNA, 177 nt
Organism: Serinus canaria (Common canary)
Lineage: Eukaryota; Metazoa; Chordata; Aves; Passeriformes; Fringillidae
Exons: 3
Source: RefSeq, a predicted model, not a curated record
GUACAGACAUUGAGUGGCAAAGGGAGAUGCUGCAUCACAUUCUUCCUAACAGAGCCUAUGAGAAUCAAAAUUGAUCUUCUGUGCCAAAGCUUGGAAGAGCCUUGAAUGGAACAUGCAUAUUACUUUGUGAUCAAGACUGAUAUUCAACAGUGGAGUAAAGCAGAAGCACAGUCAAAG